RNAcentral lists this ribosomal RNA (253 nucleotides) under uncultured bacterium. RNAcentral's name for it is "partial 16S ribosomal RNA". It matches the Rfam family "Bacterial small subunit ribosomal RNA", at positions 524 to 776 of the family's 1533-position model. The record is from RNAcentral.
UACGGAGGGAGCUAGCGUUAUUCGGAAUUACUGGGCGUAAAGCGCACGUAGGCGGCUUUGUAAGUUAGAGGUGAAAGCCCGGGGCUCAACUCCGGAACUGCCUUUAAGACUGCAUCGCUAGAAUUGUGGAGAGGUAAGUGGAAUUCCGAGUGUAGAGGUGAAAUUCGUAGAUAUUCGGAAGAACACCAGUGGCGAAGGCGACUUACUGGACACAUAUUGACGCUGAGGUGCGAAAGCGUGGGGAGCAAACAGG